GCUGUAGCUCAGUGGUAGAGCAUCUGCUCUGCAUGCAGAAGGUCACAGAUUCAGUUCCUGGCAUCUCCA
Molecule: transfer RNA, 69 nt
Filed under: Podarcis lilfordi (Lilford's wall lizard)
Lineage: Eukaryota; Metazoa; Chordata; Lepidosauria; Squamata; Lacertidae
Description: tRNA.Ala
Rfam family: tRNA
About the family: Transfer RNA (tRNA) molecules are approximately 80 nucleotides in length. Their secondary structure includes four short double-helical elements and three loops (D, anti-codon, and T loops).
Source: RNAcentral